GACGAACGCUGGCGGCGUGCUUAACACAUGCAAGUCGAACGGAAAGGCCCUGCUUUUGUGGUGUGCUCGAGUGGAGAACGGGUGAGUAACACGUGAGUAACCUGCUCCUGACUUUGGGAUAACUUCAGGAAACUGGGGCUAAUACCGGAUAGGAGCUCCUGCUGCAUGGUGGGGGUUGGAAAUUUUCGUCGGUUGGGGAUGGACUCCCGGCUUAUCGGCUUGUUGGUGGGGUAGUGGCUUACCAAGGCUUUGACGGGUAGCCGGCCUGAGGGGGGGACCGGCCACAUGGGAACGGAGAUAGGGCCCAGACUCCUAGGGGGGGCAGCGGGGGGGAAUUUGGCACAAUGGGCGAAGGCCGAUGGAGGGAACGCCGCGGGCGGGAUGACGGCCUUGGGGUGUUAAACCGCUUUCGCCUGUGACGAAGCGUGAGUGACGGUAAUUGGUAAAGAAGCACCGGCUAACUACGUG
This 468-nucleotide ribosomal RNA is filed under the name uncultured bacterium. RNAcentral describes it as "partial 16S ribosomal RNA". It matches the Rfam family "Bacterial small subunit ribosomal RNA", at positions 28 to 507 of the family's 1533-position model. The record is from RNAcentral.